Molecule: ribosomal RNA, 467 nt
Filed under: uncultured bacterium
Lineage: Bacteria
Description: partial 16S ribosomal RNA
Rfam family: Bacterial small subunit ribosomal RNA
Source: RNAcentral
GACGAACGCUGGCGGCGUGCUUAACACAUGCAAGUCGAACGGAAAGGCCCUGCUUUUGUGGGGUGCUCGAGUGGCGAACGGGUGAGUAACACGUGAGUAACCUGCCCUUGACUUUGGGAUAACUUCAGGAAACUGGGGCUAAUACCGGAUAGGAGCUCCUGCUGCAUGGUGGGGGUUGGAAAGUUUCGGCGGUUGGGGAUGGACUCGCGGCUUAUCAGCUUGUUGGUGGGGUAGUGGCUUACCAAGGCUUUGACGGGUAGCCGGCCUGAGAGGGUGACCGGCCACAUUGGGACUGAGAGACGGCCCAGACGCCUACGGGAGGCAGCGGUGGGGAAUAUUGCACAAUGGGCGGAAGCCGGAUGCAGCAACGCCGCGUGCGGGAUGACGGCCUUCGGGUUGUAAACCGCUUUCGCCUGUGACGAAGCGUGAGUGACGGUAAUGGGUAAAGAAGCACCGGCUAACUACGU